RNAcentral lists this non-coding RNA (27 nucleotides) under Mus musculus (house mouse). Lineage: Eukaryota; Metazoa; Chordata; Mammalia; Rodentia; Muridae. The record is from RNAcentral.
UGCCUAUGAGGACACAAGACCCCUUCC